UGCUUCCCCUUUUUCCUUUCUUUUAACCCCGCUUCUUCCCUUCCCUUUCUCCCGUUUAUUCUUAAUUUCCUAAAAACAAACAAAACUGCUCCAGACGCAAUCAGGUGGCGGUGGCAGAGCGAAGGUCUCCCCAAUUCCGUCCUCAGGCGUUGGGAAUCAAGCCACACCCUCGAGGGAUCCUGCCCCGCGCGCUCCCAGACCCGGUGACCCCGGCCGGCGGCCGCCGACUCAACGCCGCGGUGGGCUCUCGGCUGCCGGAAAGGUCAACGCGGUGGCAUCCCUCUCUGGGCGCUGUUUACGUGACUUAAUGUACUUCUUACGCGGCGCUUGUUAUCUGGGCCACCCAAUGACCGACGAAAGAUCUUCCCUCCCCACGUCUCCCAUCGCCGCUUUAAACCAAAUAAAUUUAGCUAUUAAGGGCCAAGAUGUCUGACAAAAGAUCGAAAGGUGUCUCUCUGGGAUCGCUUAAAGAAGCGGAGCUGGCGGCUCUCGGAUCCCGAUAAAGACAUUCCACGCCGGCGCCGGGCUCCCUCCCCAGCCUGCUUGCGUCCCACACCCUGCGAUCAGGACCUCAAAGGUCCACUGGGACCUGUGGCUACAAUUGAGGCGAUGUCUAGGUGUCUAGGGUCCCAGGCCUGGAGAUGCUAGGCCUUGGGAGGGGGUCACUGAGGUCCCUGGAGCAGUGGGACCUAAAACAUUCCUGAGAAGCUUGCGGAAGAACCAAGGCCAAGGAAACCCAAAGUAGCUUUAAAUUUGCCCCUCCCCCAACCCUUUCCCUUUGAGACAAAUUCUCUCAUGAUGUAUGGCAGGCUGGCCUCAAACUCAUGAUCCUCAAGCCUCAGGCCUGUGGAGUAUUGGAAUUACAAGUGUAGUCUUGUCCUGUCGUUUUUUAUUAUUUUCUAAUACUAAGUAAUAAAUGCAAACCCUAAUCA
Peromyscus eremicus (cactus mouse) is the source of this 932-nucleotide long non-coding RNA. RefSeq lists it as uncharacterized. The transcript is spliced from 2 exons. NCBI's taxonomy places the organism in Eukaryota, Metazoa, Chordata, Mammalia, Rodentia, Cricetidae. The record is from RefSeq and is a predicted model, not a curated record.